AGGCGGUCCCCUCGCAACGAGAGUUGGUAAACCCCGCCAGGCCCGGAAGGGAGCAACGGUAGUCAAUGCAUCGUGUGCCGGGGUGUGGCUGUUUGGG
Molecule: non-coding RNA, 97 nt
Rfam family: Bacterial small signal recognition particle RNA
About the family: The signal recognition particle (SRP) is a universally conserved ribonucleoprotein involved in the co-translational targeting of proteins to membranes. Archaeal SRP consists of a 7S RNA and homologues of the eukaryotic SRP19 and SRP54 proteins. In most bacteria, the SRP consists of a 4.5S RNA and the Ffh protein (a homologue of the eukaryotic SRP54 protein).
Source: Rfam